Molecule: ribosomal RNA, 497 nt
Filed under: uncultured bacterium
Lineage: Bacteria
Description: partial 16S ribosomal RNA
Rfam family: Bacterial small subunit ribosomal RNA
Source: RNAcentral
GAUGAACGCUGGCGGCGUGCCUAAUACAUGCAAGUCGAGCGAACGGACGAUAAGCUUGCUUCUCUGAUGUUAGCGGCGGACGGGUGAGUAACACGUGGAUAACCUACCUAUAAGACUUGGAUAACUUCGGGAAACCGGAGCUAAUACCGGAUAAUAUUUUGAACCGCAUGGUUCAAAAGUGAAAGACGGUCUUGCUGUCACUUAUAGAUGGUUCCGCGCUGCAUUAGCUAGUUGGUAAGGUAACGGCUUACCAAGGCAACGAUGCAUAGCCGACCUGAGAGGGUGAUCGGCCACACUGGAACUGAGACACGGUCCAGACUCCUACGGGAGGCAGCAGUAGGGAAUCUUCCGCAAUGGGCGAAAGCCUGACGGAGCAACGCCGCGUGAGUGAUGAAGGUCUUCGGAUCGUAAAACUCUGUUAUUAGGGAAGAACAGAUGUGUAAGUAAAUGUGCACAUCUUGACGGUACCUAAUCAGAAAGCCACGGCUAACUACGUG